Gracilinanus agilis (Agile Gracile Mouse Opossum) is the source of this 429-nucleotide long non-coding RNA. RefSeq lists it as uncharacterized. The transcript is spliced from 3 exons. Lineage: Eukaryota; Metazoa; Chordata; Mammalia; Didelphimorphia; Didelphidae. The record is from RefSeq and is a predicted model, not a curated record.
UCACACAGAGAAGCUUAUUGGUAAGAGAAAUCAGCAUGGAGCAACCUGAGAAUUGUAAAGGAAAAACAUAUAUAUGGCUGGUGGUAGGUUUUUUAACAAUAAUAUCAAUACUAUCAGUCUUGCUGGGGGUCUACUGCUUACGGGCCAACUCAGAAGGCUGUGUAAAGGGCUUGGAGCUCCAGUACCAGUAUCGGAACGAGACCCGACUACUACAGGAGCAGCUGAGACAAAGCCAGGAAACCUCCCUGGAGACAGAGGCCCGGUGGAAGAGUUGCAGCAGUGACUUGAAAAACCUGAGUGAGACUCUGAAGGAAGUGACAUCCCAGAGAAACUACCUGAAGGGAGCCCCUGGACUUCACCAAACUGUUGGCUAGAAGGAGUACAUACAGAAGCCAGAAGAGUUAAGUCACUUGCCCAAAGUCACCUGGG